UACGUAUGGUGCAAGCGUUAUCCGGAUUUACUGGGUGUAAAGGGUGCGUAGGUGGCAUGGCAAGUCAGAAGUGAAAGGCCGGGGCUCAACCCCGGGACUGCUUUUGAAACUGUCAGGCUGGAGUGCAGGAGAGGAAAGCGGAAUUCCUAGUGUAGCGGUGAAAUGCGUAGAUAUUAGGAGGAACACCAGUGGCGAAGGCGGCUUUCUGGACUGAAACUGACACUGAGGCACGAAAGCGUGGGGAGCAA
RNAcentral lists this ribosomal RNA (248 nucleotides) under uncultured Eubacterium sp. RNAcentral describes it as "partial 16S ribosomal RNA". It matches the Rfam family "Bacterial small subunit ribosomal RNA", at positions 524 to 771 of the family's 1533-position model. The record is from RNAcentral. Lineage: Bacteria; Bacillati; Bacillota; Clostridia; Eubacteriales; Eubacteriaceae.